AGGACGAACGCUGGCGGCGUGCUUAACACAUGCAAGUCGAGCGAGGCCCUUCCUUCGGGAAGGUGACCUAGCGGCGAACGGGUGAGUAACACGUGGGCAACCUGCCCUUAGCUCUGGGAUAAGCCCGAGAAAUCGGGUCUAAUACCGGAUACGACACGGGACGGCAUCAUCACCGUGUGGAAAGAAUUUCGGCUAAGGAUGGGCCCGCGGCCUAUCAGCUUGUUGGUGAGGUAAUAGCUCACCAAGGCGACGAC
RNAcentral lists this ribosomal RNA (254 nucleotides) under uncultured bacterium. RNAcentral's name for it is "partial small subunit ribosomal RNA". It matches the Rfam family "Bacterial small subunit ribosomal RNA", at positions 26 to 280 of the family's 1533-position model. The record is from RNAcentral.